AGUACUCCUAAGGUUCUAUUAGGGUUGUCACAGCGACACACUUCGGCUCCCUAACAAUAGAUGAGGUUCCAAGGUAGCCUUGUAUGGAAAUGCAAGCUCCGCUUCCACAACGCCUCCACCUCAUUGCUAUAACUGGUAUCAUAAUCAACAAGAUGAGACUCUCUUUCCUGUUUUUUGAAUCUGCCUCUGGCUGGAGCCCUCAAGAAGGUAGAGACCUGCUUGAGCCUCCAAAAGUCAAUUUUCUACACCAGCAGCAUACAGGGGAAAGAAAGUGGAACAAAUUAAAGAGAAAACAAAUCAAAGGAUGAAGGGGAAGAGGAAAUCCCUCUCAUAUGGAGCAGACAUGGAGGCAAAGUUGAGCAGGUAGGCAACUGUGCAUUAUAUGAUUUAUGUGUCAGAUACUCCUCCUGGACAUUCAAGAAAUUAACCAUGCAAUCCUUUACUUCUCAGAUGAGGAAACCUUGUCCCCAAACACACAACUAGUUAGUAAAACUAGAAAUUAAAUCUGGGGCUGAUGAUUCUUCUCAUUACUAGAAAAGUUAAUAUGAAAUGAAGCCUCC
RNAcentral lists this long non-coding RNA (560 nucleotides) under Pan paniscus (pygmy chimpanzee). RNAcentral's name for it is "lncRNA (ENSPPAG00000045308.1)". Lineage: Eukaryota; Metazoa; Chordata; Mammalia; Primates; Hominidae. The record is from RNAcentral.